GCUCUAGUAGUGUAGUGGUUAUCAUACGGCCCUGUCGAGGCCGUGACGCGGGUUCGAUUCCCGCCUAGGGCG
This 72-nucleotide transfer RNA is filed under the name Nanobdellota archaeon. RNAcentral's name for it is "tRNA-Asp". It matches the Rfam family "tRNA". From Rfam's summary of the family: Transfer RNA (tRNA) molecules are approximately 80 nucleotides in length. Their secondary structure includes four short double-helical elements and three loops (D, anti-codon, and T loops). The record is from RNAcentral. Lineage: Archaea; Nanobdellati; Nanobdellota. RNAcentral also lists the same sequence under 1 other name.